AGAAUAAUUAAGGUUUGAUUUAAUCUUUAAUCAUAAUUUUAACUUAGAUUUUAUUACUUAUCUAUUUGCUCUAAUUAAGGUUUUAAUUUUUCAUAGGAGAGAUAUGAUGAGCUAUCAUUAUCUCAAAGAAGUUCAGGUGAUGGUGAUAAUAUUGAGGGAUCUGAGCCGUCUGUUACUAAUAAUUUAGAUUUAUGGUUAGAGGCCAGUGGGGGUGUCAAAGGGGGAAGGAUAAUAGGUAUGGGUUCUAUGAGUAGAAUCCAUAAUGUUCCUCGAAGAUCUUUAUGUUCUUCUACCCGACCCGCAGUAACAGCACAGAUUCAUAGCUUAACUGAAGAGGUUGACAAUUUGAAAGACAUAAUAUCUCAAAGGGAUCAGCAAAUUUUAGAAAUUCAAAAACAAAAUUCACAAAGAGAUCUAGAUAUGGUUGAAAUGCGUAAACAGCAAGCCUUUCUUUUACAACAAUUUCAACAAUUUAGAUCGGGUUCAAGCUAUAUUCCUCCUGGUAUUGGUGAUGAUGCUAAUGACGAUGAUGAUGUCGAUGAUGAUGCCGCCGAUGAUGUUGAUGAUGAUGCAUGAGUGUUUGGUUGGUAGGUGAAGAUGAUGGUGGUAUUGAUGUAAAAAUAUGUAGAAGAAGGAUUUGGACUGAGAAGGAUCUCCAUAAGAUUAUCUUCAACUCUAUCUUUUUCAUGUUCUUGUAUGAUAUUGGAA
This is a long non-coding RNA of Zingiber officinale, 708 nucleotides long. RefSeq lists it as uncharacterized. The record is from RefSeq and is a predicted model, not a curated record. The transcript has 3 exons. NCBI's taxonomy places the organism in Eukaryota, Viridiplantae, Streptophyta, Magnoliopsida, Zingiberales, Zingiberaceae.